CCCUUAGAUGUUCUGGGCUGCACGCGCGCUACACUGAUGCGAUCAACAAGUUUUUCCUAUGUCGAUAGACACGGGUAAUCUUUUGAACUCGCAUCGUGAUGGGGAUAGAUUAUUGUAAUUAUUAAUCUUCAACGAGGAAUUCCUAGUAGGUGCAAAUCAUCAGUUUGCAUCGAUUACGUCCCUGCCCUUUGUACACACCGCCCGUCGCUCCUACCGAUUGAAUGAUCCGAUGAAUAUCAUGGAUUGAGGAUGCAAGCAGGUUCGCCUGUCUUCAUCUUCGAGAAGUGAAGUAAAUCUUAUCAUUUAGAGGAAGGAGAAGUCGUAACA
This 327-nucleotide ribosomal RNA is filed under the name uncultured eukaryote. RNAcentral describes it as "partial 18S ribosomal RNA". It matches the Rfam family "Eukaryotic small subunit ribosomal RNA", at positions 1470 to 1796 of the family's 1831-position model. The record is from RNAcentral.